GGAGGUUAGUGAGCCUGUUUUGCUGGCUCAGCCAGGUGUAUUUCUCUCCACAGAUUCCUGCACAGGUGACAUUGUUCCCUGGCUGCAGUGAGAGGGGCUGGAGCUGAGACUGGGCCUCAUCAGCGUCUGCUACGGGAGAGAGGCUGGUGAGCCCAUCUUGUUAGCUCAGAUGUAUGCAUCUCCCAGCAGCUUCCUGCGCCGUUGGGAUAGUUAUCCAACUGUGGCAGGAGGAGCCAGGCCUGAUACUGGGCCCCUUUAGGAUCUGCUGUGGGACAGAGGAUGGUGAGCCCAUCAGGAAGACUCAGACUCUGGGGCUGCAAUAUAUGGGAAGCCUCCUAUCAGACUCUCUGCCUGGCCUGAGAUAUCCAGUUAACACCUGCAAUUCAGAAUACCCUCUCACCCAGCAAUAAAGCAUCCAGCCUUUGCAUCUGUAACAACCUCCUCUGUAAUUUGUGCAUUCUAUGAUGCUCCAAAUCAGUACAAUCUAUCCAUGACUUCAGACAGAUGAAAACAGUUCCUUCUAAAAACAGAGGCUGAUGUUUUAAAAGACAAUAAGAGAAAAUGUGAGCUCCCCAUGGCUGCGGUAUAAAGUGCUGGAAGAGAGGAGCAUCUCCAGAGCAUGGAAGACAAAGCAGCCUUAUGCUCACCUUUUCCACUUCAGUUUCCAUUUUCCUCCAAGGCAAAACUCCCACUUCUGGCAGUUUCUCACAGGAAGAGAGGCCUACUGAAAUCCUGGAGAAGCUGUGCUGCAAAGGCAUAUGUGAAAGCUGACCCAAUUUAUACAAGGCUGGGGGACUACACUGGACAUCGUUAUGUGCCCUUCAGCUUUCCUUUGAGGAAUGACUUGAUCCACUAAGUGUGGUGAGUACUGCUAGCAGAUAGCCUUGAUCUAUCAGCCUCUUCAG
RNAcentral lists this long non-coding RNA (905 nucleotides) under Rhinopithecus bieti (black snub-nosed monkey). RNAcentral's name for it is "lncRNA (ENSRBIG00000046299.1)". The record is from RNAcentral. Lineage: Eukaryota; Metazoa; Chordata; Mammalia; Primates; Cercopithecidae.